UUUUAGUGAGUAGGAAGGUAUUAUGGUAUGCGUUGAAGUAUCUAGCGUGAACUGAUAUGGAGCUUCCAUAAGCACAGAUCUUGGUGGUAGUAGCAAAUAUUCGAAUGAGAUCUUG
This is a ribosomal RNA of Clunio marinus, 115 nucleotides long. It matches the Rfam family "Eukaryotic large subunit ribosomal RNA", at positions 1372 to 1485 of the family's 3401-position model. The record is from Rfam. Lineage: Eukaryota; Metazoa; Arthropoda; Insecta; Diptera; Chironomidae.